UCAGACGAUGCGUCAUGCAUAUCAAUAAGCGGAGGAAAAGAAACUAACAAGGAUUCCCCUAGUAACGGCGAGUGAAGCGGGAAGAGCUCAAAUUUGAAAUCUUAAAGGGUUUCCCUUUACGAAUUGUAGUUUAAAGAAGUGUUUUCUGUAGAGGUUUUGGUAAAAGUUCUUUGGAAUAGGACAUCAUAGAGGGUGAGAAUCCCGUAUUUGACCUUUACUUUCAACUUUGUGAUACACUUUCAAAGAGUCGGAUUGAUUGGGAAUGCAGUCCAAAAUGGGUGGUAAAUUUCAUCUAAAGCUAAAUAUUGGCGAGAGACCGAUAGCGAACAAGUACCGUGAGGGAAAGAUGAAAAGAACUUUGAAAAGAGAGUUAAACAGGUACAUGAAAUUGUCAAAAGGGAAGCGUUUGAUCACCAGUGUUGUUUUUCUGAAAAUCAAUUAAAGAACUGUUUAUGCUAAGUUGUUUAGACUUUAUCAGCUAACUGUUUAGUUUUGAGCUUUUCUUUAAUGCACUUUUCAGUUAACAAGUCAACAUCAAUUUCUUUUGCUGUAAAAAAGCUUGAGGAAAGUGGCUUGAGAUUCGUCUUAAGUGUUUAUAGCCUCUUGCCUAUGCAGUCGGAGAGAUUGAGGUCUGCAGCGUAGAUCCUUCGGGGCUAAAUGCAUUUGUGCUAAGUUAUAGCAUUUUAUAGACAACUUGUUGACUAUGAUUUGUCUUGUAGCUUACUCGCUUAUGUUAUUUACCUACGCUUAGGAUGUUGAAGAUGUAGCACAUCAU
This 775-nucleotide ribosomal RNA is filed under the name uncultured Neocallimastigales. Its description in RNAcentral is "partial large subunit ribosomal RNA". It matches the Rfam family "Eukaryotic large subunit ribosomal RNA", at positions 18 to 643 of the family's 3401-position model. Lineage: Eukaryota; Fungi; Neocallimastigomycota; Neocallimastigomycetes; Neocallimastigales. The record is from RNAcentral.